This 456-nucleotide unclassified non-coding RNA is filed under the name Hevea brasiliensis (rubber tree). The record is from RNAcentral. Lineage: Eukaryota; Viridiplantae; Streptophyta; Magnoliopsida; Malpighiales; Euphorbiaceae.
GGAGAGUCCAAGUCCAAGCAACAUAGCGUCUCACAAUCAGAACCUCUUUUAAACUGAAUUGUCCCGGUAACGAGAUCUUGAUUUGGGUUUGAAAUUAAGAAAUGAGACAACAACAUGUGAAGAAGCUCUAAGAAAGUUGGAAACCUCCUCUAUUGCCUCUUCUGAUAUGCCACUACAGCUAUCCCAAACAAUUAUCAGUUCUUCUAAUACUUGUGCAUUCUUGAGGAAAAACCUCAGUAGCUCUAUCUCUUUAUCUUCAUUUUUGAAACCAGCCAACUGAAUCAACUUUAGAUGAGACUCCAGGCACAAAACGCUUUCACUAGGAUCAUGGAACUUCCAGUUUUCAUCCCAACCGUAAUUCUCAUCAGAAAACAAAUUAAGAACCUCUAAAUUAGGAGAAUGCUUGAGCAAUAGCAUCAUGAUUUCCAUGCAAGAUUCGUCAAUUGCCACUGCCAA